CCUACGGGAGGCAGCAGUGGGGAAUAUUGGACAAUGGGCGAAAGCCUGAUCCAGCCAUGCCGCGUGUGUGAAGAAGGCCUUCGGGUUGUAAAGCACUUUCAGUGGGGAAGAAAGCCUUGGGGCUAAUACCCUCGAGGAAGGACAUCACCCACAGAAGAAGCACCGGCUAACUCCGUGCCAGCAGCCGCGGUAAUACGGAGGGUGCGAGCGUUAAUCGGAAUUACUGGGCGUAAAGCGCGCGUAGGCGGUCUGAUAAGCCGGUUGUGAAAGCCCCGGGCUCAACCUGGGAACGGCAUCCGGAACUGUCAGGCUAGAGUGCAGGAGAGGAAGGUAGAAUUCCCGGUGCAGCGGUGAAAUGCGUAGAGAUCGGGAGGAAUACCAGUGGCGAAGGCGGCCUUCUGGACUGACACUGACGCUGAGGUGCGAAAGCGUGGGUAGCAAACAGGAUUAGAUACCCGAGUAGUC
This 465-nucleotide ribosomal RNA is filed under the name Vreelandella stevensii. Its description in RNAcentral is "partial 16S ribosomal RNA". It matches the Rfam family "Bacterial small subunit ribosomal RNA", at positions 338 to 795 of the family's 1533-position model. Lineage: Bacteria; Pseudomonadati; Pseudomonadota; Gammaproteobacteria; Oceanospirillales; Halomonadaceae. The record is from RNAcentral.